This is a long non-coding RNA of Seriola aureovittata, 4060 nucleotides long. RefSeq lists it as uncharacterized. The record is from RefSeq and is a predicted model, not a curated record. NCBI's taxonomy places the organism in Eukaryota, Metazoa, Chordata, Actinopteri, Carangiformes, Carangidae. The transcript is spliced from 4 exons.
AUCAUUCUCUGAACAGUACAAUUACACGUCAACUUAGUCCAUGCAAACAGAAGAUGGACAAUGAAAUAGACACAGCAAAGAGCCAACACAGGUAUGCAAACUGUAAAUGGAAAUCACGCAGUCAUAUAGGUAUAUAAUAAUAACAAUCCUAUGGCUCUUCUUGCCACUGUUUGCCAGCCACUACUCCCUGACCCCUUCAUGAACCUUGUUCUUUAGUUACAUUGAGCAAGCUUGCUCCACUCUGCAAAUAUUACACUGGCUGUCGUCACUCAGCUAUCGCUCAGGUUUUCAGCUUUAUGUUUUUAAAAUAGUUACUCAACGCUCGGGACGGAAUGCCACAUAACAAAAUAUAUCUUGACUUUAAACGUUCAUGUCAUGAAAGGAGCUAGCACAAGAAGAAGAAAACCGAACGAAUGCUAGCAGCCAUAGCCUUCACCGCAGAGCGGAAGGAAGGGAAGCAGAAAAGCCCCAGAGCAGAAUGCAACGAGGAAAAGACAAGAGUGAUGAAAGAGAGACACGACGGAGGCACACACACACAUUCAACGAUACCUCGAGUCUGUCUGCGGUGUACCACCAGCCUGCAACACACACAAGCACACACACAAGCCUGUUACGGGCAGCUGAUAAAGUGGGAGACGCCAUUCCAGCUGUGAGGAGACGGAAGAAGUCAACACACACACUCACACAAACACACACACACAGAAACACAGAGCCGGAGGCGCGCGAGCAGGUGAGCAUUAAGUCAGGCAGCUAAACAGAUCACGUUGCGGUAUGAUAUCUGCAGACAGGCAGACAGAGGAGGCUGGUCUGUACCUGCAGGCAGAGAGCAACAACUCACAGCACCCGCGCCAGGAAUGUCCUCCCCCUCCUGAGAGACAGAGCGAGCGAGUGACUGAAGGUGGGAGAAAGACAGAAACUGGGGUUUCCACUGUGAGGUGUGUGUGUGUGUGCGUGUGUGUGUUUAUGCAAACCACAUUUUAAAGCCUGAACACAAACUGUCUGCUGAAAUUUCUUUUUCUGAUCUGAAUAGCUUCAGUGUCACAAAAUAUUUUAACUCUUGACAUCAAGCAGAUGUUUUUGGCAUUGAUUAAAAUACUAAAUGUUUGACAUUUGUGUCACUUAAAAUUUGAAUUGUGACUACCCAGCUUUUCCCAUAUAAAGUGCAUUAAAAACUUUUUUGCUUUUAAAGAACUUUAAAUCUGAAAAACAAAAGAGGAUGUGGAUAUUAUAUGUAGUGAGUUUUAUAACCACAUUUAAGGUUUUUUUUUUUUUUUUUAAUCUUUUUUCUUUUUCAGUUAUUAUUUUAUGAAACAAACCUUGUUUCACAGAUGAGAAAAAAUGCUCUUACGCCACAUUUUUUAAGCCCAACAUUCCUCCUUUACCUCAGGCGAUGAAAGGACAUUUGACAUUAAAAAAAAAAGAUCAGCACUUUCACACGCUACUGUGAUAUCAAGUGCAGAUGGUUCUUUUAUUUUGGAGUAACUCGAUCACCUCCUGUAUGAUGUCUUUCUGGAAUUACGAUGGUGUUAUGACAGGGUCCUCAGCACUAAUUGUGAAACUUUGACAGUAUCUGUUACGCAAACUUGUUCUGCUAGUUUUCUGUUGUUAGCGCUCCUCAGAGCAGCUUUGACAUUUUUAGAUUUUAUAGCUUUCUGUCAUUCACAUGCUGCUCAGCAUGUGUGGCCUUUAUCUGUGGUAUCCUGUAUCACAUUCAUACUAAUUCCCAUUUGGGAGAUGACCGCUACACUUGUGGUCUCCUAGUGUUGGCCACCGAGUAGCUUCUCUGAACCAACUGUGGGUUAUGUUGUUGCUUAAGAGUUGCAGGAGUUAUGAAAUAAGGGCUUUCAGUUCACUUCUGCAUGGAUCCAGCAAUUCAGUGCCUCUUAAAGUCACCAACUUCUUCUCCUCUCUGUAAUCUACUCUUGUCCUUGAAUUGAAGUUGUUUCACUCAUUAGGAAGAUCAACCAUGUUCUGUGAUCAACAUUAUUCCCUGGCUGAGGUUUUGUUCUUGUCUUUUUCAAAGCUUUUUAUAUUUAGCUUGAAAAACGCCUCCUGAAAUUUUUACAAGUCACAUCUCUCCCCACCACAUCCACUUAUCUAAAAAUGAUUCAGUGGUUAAAUGUCAGAGCUGUCCGUGCCAUUAAGGCCAGCAUGUUUGAAGGAAGGACACCCUUGUCUGCCCUCUCCCUCCUCCCUUCUUAUUCCUCUUGCUCUCCCCUUUCUUCCUCCUCUCUCCCCCCAAGCUCUCUCACCCCCUCCACCCACCCCAGUCUGGUUUGAGGGCUGAUGUGCAGACCUUGUCAUUCAGAUUAGGGCCACAUUGUCAGCUCAGGGCCCUGCUCUCUCUAGUUGCGUGUCCUGGAUCUUUCUUCCUACUGUCACCCUCGUCCUGCGGCCAGAGAAGACCUUAUAAAGCAGCAUUCCUUCUCAUCCACUUCUGUCAAUUCCAACACUGUCACUCAAAUCACGGUUCGGGAGAGUAUAGAGAGGCUGAGUUAGCGGUGUCCCUCGCAGCAAGGACUGUGCUUUUUGGUCUGAGCUUGCGAGACGUAUCAGCAGCAAACAAACUGUUUUUCUUUUCUUUUCUUUUUUUUUACUUGGUUGAAGUAUUUUUAGUUAUGAUGUAGUUUUUGCUCACAACAGACAAGCUUUUCAGAAGAAUACAUUAACUGAGAUGCACAGGAAAUGACAGCAGAAACAGCUCUUGUGAUCUAAAGGAGAGAAGAGAGGCGGCACAUUCUCUGCUGUCAGGCUUGUGGUAGAAAACUUUUAAAAAAUCUUCAAUUAUUACUACUUAGUGUGUUGCUCCUUUAUAGUAAAGACUGGACACAGUGUUAUUUUAACUCUGUUUUCUGUGUGAAAAAAGUAUUAGGCGGUAGAUGAGAUAUCCACCACAUCGUCUUAGUCAGUCCUUAUCCUGUCCAGUAAAAGUGUCCCAACACCAUAUUUAUCAUCUGACCACAUCUUGACUCACUGCCACAGCUUUGUCACAUCGUAUCUAAUGCUACAGCAGCUCUGUGGCAUUUUAUUUUUGUGCUUCUCACAAACUCUGCACUUUUUUUUUUUUUUUUCCAUGAUGAGCAGCUCUGAUUAAACACUGCGUAAUAAAAUCUUUCAUGCAAGCUGCUGGACAGUUUCUUUACUGGUAUUAGCGCGAGAAGAAAACCAUAGAAAAACACCCAGUCUUCAGCCACAGUGACACAUCAUAGUGAAAACAACAGAUGCUAUUGAUCUGGGUGAGUCGACGGUUUCAUACCCAGUGUCUUCCUCAGCUUCCACCUUGCAUGAAGCCCUCAAGGCAUGCUAGUGUCUCUCUAGAGGCUGCACCACGAUGCUUCAAUACAGCCUAUGAUGACUGGCUGCAGCCUCCGCCCAGGUGCUUGUGUUUACUAAAACCCACUAUGAGUCAUGAGUUUCAAGAUGACUUCCCUCUUCUAACUGUUACUUAUAGUGAAAUAAAAUUUGUUCCCAUACAUUAAGAAUGUCUUUAGUGUCAUAAUGACCGUGUGUCAUUUGGCGACAAUCAAAUGUUGCCUUUGCCAGGAUUUAAGAAGAAGUAGGGCACAGCCAGCUCUGCUACUUUUUAGCUGCGGUAGUGGAGAGCACAGGAGGCGGCAGUUUAAUAAUUAAUUGCAUUUGAUGUAUAUCUUAUCAUGUUUGUUCCUUGAUAUAAAUGCUUUUCUGUCUCUUAUCCUCAGGUACAGUGUGUAAAUGGCCGACACUUGGUGCAAAGAAUGUAGGGAAAAAGCAGUGUGAUGUAUGCAUGUAUAUGUAGCAGCAGGUUUUGUUCAUGUUUAAAGCUGAAUGAAAGACCUCCAGUACAAAUAGAUAUGGUAUUAUUGUUCCCUUCUUUAAGUCUAUAGAUAUAGAUGUAGAUGUGCCAAAAUGGAGAGCAUGGUAAAACACUCAUGAUUCUUUUAGUGUGCUCCGUGCUCAGAGAAUGAAAAAAGGGGGAUUUAGCAUGAAGGGAGAGAGUUAGAAGCCUCUCCGCCCACACUUAAGACUCACUGCCUCUGCAUCUUUAAGCAGACUGUCAUCUCUGGUCACCAUCAGGUCUGUG